This 229-nucleotide unclassified non-coding RNA is filed under the name uncultured fungus. RNAcentral's name for it is "sequence contains ITS1, 5.8S rRNA gene". The stretch from base 181 to 229 matches the Rfam family "5.8S ribosomal RNA", at positions 1 to 49 of the family's 154-position model. The record is from RNAcentral. Lineage: Eukaryota; Fungi.
UCUCCGUAGGUGAACCUGCGGAGGGAUCAUUACUGAGUGAGGGCCUCCCCGGCCCGACCUCCAACCCUUUGUUAACACAACUUGUUGCUUCGGGGGCGACCCUGCCGUUUCGACGGCGAGCGCCCCCGGAGGCCUUCAAACACUGCAUCUUUGAGUCGGAGUUUAAGAAAAUUAAAACAAAACUUUCAACAACGGAUCUCUUGGUUCUGGCAUCGAUGAAGAACGCAGC